UGUUGUUAUUAUCUGUCAUCACAUUAACUCUCCAUUUUCUUUUCACUCCAGAAAUGAAAUUCUCAGCCAAAUAAUCAGCAGUUGACUUGUACAGUUUACACUUUACUCAGCAAUUGUUAGGAGCUCGUGGUCGUCGGUGAAAGAUUUAUCGUUUCCUUUGUCGACUCGGACAAUCCUUGGCCUAGUCAGUUUUAGGGUUAUGGGAGAUUAUUUUUUAGUGUCUACAGCAGAUUUUAUUUUUUGUUGUUGACUAAUUCGGUUGUAUAAGAUUCUAGUUUGGCAGCCAUUGAUUGCUUUUUCCUGUCAUGGGGGUCUCUAGAAUGCUGGCGGCAAUCAACAAAAAUGUUUUUAUUGAUUUCUUUUAACCUAUUGGUCAACCUAUUGGCUGAACUGUGCUAAACAUUUGUUGGAUUGAAAUGAAAACCACUGGAUGGCAUCUGUGCUGGUGUGCAGCAUAACACAGUGUACUUAGUGGUGAAGUCGGAGGUCUUAGACUUGAAUUGACUAUUAAUAAUCAAAAUCGACCGUUUUCCCUGCUGAAAAUGCCUCGUUAGCUUCAAUCUAGAUCCACUCUUCCGGAAAUCGGAAUACAUAUCAACCUUACCUUCACAUGAAGUCUGGUAAACAUUUUCGACUAACAAAUUCGGCCUUGUCGCAUCCCUUGUGGUUCCAGAUAUUCAGUUUCGGACGGAAGAAAUCCUUGCUCAUCUGGUAAACAUACGAGUUCGUAGGUUUAAUUUCAGUACAAGGUUCCCUGCUGUGGAUGUUCCGGUUGUGCUAUAAUAUUGUGGCUAACUUGGUGGGCCCGCUCUACAUCAUUGAAGAUUUGGGAUCAUCUCCGCGGUGGAAUUAUUAACAAGAAUUCAUUAG
Long non-coding RNA from Daphnia pulicaria, 870 nucleotides. RefSeq lists it as uncharacterized. The transcript has 4 exons. The record is from RefSeq and is a predicted model, not a curated record. Lineage: Eukaryota; Metazoa; Arthropoda; Branchiopoda; Diplostraca; Daphniidae.